UCUCGGCUUAUCACCGGCAGUCCCCCUAGAGUGCCCAACUGAAUGAUGGCAACUAAUGACAAGGGUUGCGCUCGUUGCGGGACUUAACCCAACAUCUCACGACACGAGCUGACGACAGCCAUGCAGCACCUGUGCGCCGGUUCUCUUUCGAGCACUCCCGCAUCUCUGCAGGAUUCCGACCAUGUCAAGGGUAGGUAAGGUUUUUCGCGUUGCAUCGAAUUAAUCCACAUCAUCCACCGCUUGUGCGGGUCCCCGUCAAUUCCUUUGAGUUUUAAUCUUGCGACCGUACUCCCCAGGCGGUCUACUUCACGCGUUAGCUGCGUUACCAAGUCAAUUAAGACCCGACAACUAGUAGACAUCGUUUAGGGCGUGGACUAC
Molecule: unclassified non-coding RNA, 378 nt
Filed under: uncultured Gammaproteobacteria bacterium
Lineage: Bacteria; Pseudomonadati; Pseudomonadota; Gammaproteobacteria
Description: contains 16S-23S intergenic spacer region
Source: RNAcentral